This 427-nucleotide ribosomal RNA is filed under the name uncultured bacterium. RNAcentral's name for it is "partial 16S ribosomal RNA". It matches the Rfam family "Bacterial small subunit ribosomal RNA", at positions 355 to 774 of the family's 1533-position model. The record is from RNAcentral.
UGGGGAAUAUUGGACAAUGGGCGAAAGCCUGAUCCAGCCAUGCCGCGUGUGUGAAGAAGGUCUUCGGAUUGUAAAGCACUUUAAGUUGGGAGGAAGGGCAGUAAGCUAAUACCUUGCUGUUUUGACGUUACCGACAGAAUAAGCACCGGCUAACUCUGUGCCAGCAGCCGCGGUAAUACAGAGGGUGCAAGCGUUAAUCGGAAUUACUGGGCGUAAAGCGCGCGUAGGUGGUUUGUUAAGGUGGAUGUGAAAGCCCCGGGCUCAACCUGGGAACUGCAUCCAAAACUGGCAAGCUAGAGUACGGUAGAGGGUGGUGGAAUUUCCUGUGUAGCGGUGAAAUGCGUAGAUAUAGGAAGGAACACCAGUGGCGAAGGCGACCACCUGGACUGAUACUGACACUGAGGUGCGAAAGCGUGGGGAGCAAACA